GUCAUUCAAUGAGACGCCAAGACUACACUGGCACAAAACAUUGAUUCUGAGCACUGUUAUGUUGUUGCCAAUACAAAUUGGAGGAAAAACAUCUCUACCAGUAGCCACCUCAGGGCAGAUAAUAUACAUCUUAUGUCUACUGUUCUUACACCUGCAAUCCCACUCUUACUCCAGAGUCUUCCAGAAGCCCAGCUCCGCUUUUCCAUUUGCCGCUUGAAUCCAUGCUGCUGUCGUACUCAUCUGGCUUUUUAAGGUCAUCAGUUCCACACCAGUCUGUCUCACAGUGCUUCUCGGAAUCUGUCUUGAACUAAACAAAAAAGCACAGUCUUUUGAAGAGAAGGAUUCCACCAUGCAGCCUCGGCCCUCCACAGAGUGAGUAC
This is a long non-coding RNA of Protopterus annectens (West African lungfish), 380 nucleotides long. RefSeq lists it as uncharacterized. The transcript is spliced from 3 exons. The record is from RefSeq and is a predicted model, not a curated record. Lineage: Eukaryota; Metazoa; Chordata; Ceratodontiformes; Protopteridae.